AAGAUCCCUGAGAGAUGAUCAGGUAGAUAGGUCAGAAGUGGAAGGCCAGUGAUGGUUGGAGCGGACUGAUACUAAUCGAUCGAGGACUUAACCAAAA
This 97-nucleotide ribosomal RNA is filed under the name Enterococcus faecium. Its description in RNAcentral is "partial 23S ribosomal RNA". It matches the Rfam family "Bacterial large subunit ribosomal RNA", at positions 2830 to 2925 of the family's 2925-position model. The record is from RNAcentral. Lineage: Bacteria; Bacillati; Bacillota; Bacilli; Lactobacillales; Enterococcaceae.